CCUGUAUCCUCUCCUAGUGGGCAUUUUUACAAAGUAUGAGAAAGAACAGUCAGAAUCAGGCAGAAUCUGUAACAGAAUCAGGCUCUGACUGUCAUAAUUUCAAUGCUAUGUAGGUCAAUAAAUGGGAUUGUUUCAGUACAGACUGAAAAACGGUUUUAGCUGAGAAACAUCCCAGAGCAUCAGUCCAGAUGCCUCUGGUUGAGGGAGAGCCACUGUGGAUCAUGUUCACAGCACCUUUGCCAGUGGUGGCCUUUCCUGGGGGAGUUCACUCCUUUGAAGGUGUUCAGCAUCCAGAUCUGCUGGGAAGAGGAUGCGUAUUGUAAACUGUGGCUCUUCUGGAGUCCAUUUUCUUUGUUCUCAGAGUAGCCCUCUCCUCUUUCACCAGUGAACAAUUCCAGUGGUAACCCUGGUGCAAAUCAGAUCUCAUUUCAGUCUCAUUUUUUAAACUGUACUGGAACUGCCUUUUCCAGAUCUGCAUUAGUUCUUGCUCUAUUUUCAGUGCUGGUCCCGGGUGUCUAUGUCUGAAACUAUUUCCAGUUCUGAUUCAAUUUUCUAAUAGAGACAAGUCUAAAGAGUGGCUCUCACCAUAGUUUCAAUUUUUCUUUUCAAUGGUUAUGAAUAAAACAUAAUGUAAGGGGAAAAAAAAAAGCUUUUGUUGUCUACUUCUGAAGUGUACAAAGGGAACAUAGAAUAUUCUGUGUGACUUUAGUGCCUGAAAAAGUCACAGCAAGUCUUCUAGAAAAGUCAAAAGAGAGACAGCUAUCAGAUGAAGAAGUCAUGGUACACUAUCUUUUUCUACAGGUUCCUUACUUUAACCGACUCUGAUUUGCUAUAUGAGUAAGGUAAAAUUUGACUCAGGUGGAAGGCAACUUCAGUGACCACAGAGAAGGGCAAUGAGAUGCUGGACUGUACAGAUCGAGCAGAAAUGAAAAAGUUUCACUGUGGAGGAACUGAGAUAAAAAGUAUUAGAAGAAAACAUGUGAGUCACAGAAAAUGACAUUUGGACCAAUAAAUGAGGAGUGUGGGCAAAUUAACUGAAGACAUGUGGCACAAGUUCUGAAAUGAGAGCAACAAAAAAAGAAAGAUGAGAUGAGAGGGAUGCAGUGAAAAGAAGGAACUGAACAACAAUUGUGCUAGCUUUGGAAUGGGCUGCUAGCUAGUGGGAAAAAUACUGGAUGCAGCUGGAUAAAUUACUGCAUUUCGGAUGGAUUUUGCAGCUGGGAUGGAGACAUAAAGCUCUUGUCACCAGGACUCUUUCCCUUGAUUUAUAACCUGGUCACCCAUCUAUCUCUGAAUAUCACUUUCUCUGUAGUGUACAGUUCUGAAAUUGUGCCCCUCAAAACUGGGAAAGUCAUUAGAACAAUAAAGAAAAAUAUAGAGUUCUUUCA
Molecule: long non-coding RNA, 1388 nt
Organism: Pezoporus occidentalis (night parrot)
Lineage: Eukaryota; Metazoa; Chordata; Aves; Psittaciformes; Psittacidae
Exons: 4
Source: RefSeq, a predicted model, not a curated record